Molecule: long non-coding RNA, 1134 nt
Organism: Pipistrellus kuhlii (Kuhl's pipistrelle)
Lineage: Eukaryota; Metazoa; Chordata; Mammalia; Chiroptera; Vespertilionidae
Exons: 4
Source: RefSeq, a predicted model, not a curated record
GGACUUGGAAGGAGGCCACCUUGUGCUGCUGACACCGCGUCAGCUCUAGGCAUCCGCCAGAGCACCCCUCCUGGCAACUUCUUCCAACAGCCCCCGCCCGCGGGUGGACCCCAACUCCCCUCUCUCACUCAGAGCUUAGGCGGCCCCCGGGAGGCACAAAGACAGCUCAGUCUCCCUAAACUUUGCGCUGCCAGUGAUGCCCCCCCCCCCCCCUUCCCUGGCCUACACCGCGCCCUCCCAGGUUCUUGGCAGGAAGGUUAGGCCAACUGGCAAAAUCCUCAGGCGAGAGCCAGCUGAUCACAAAUGCCAACUGUGUGUGUCUUGGGGCCAGUGACGUCCUCUCAUCUGCCAGGGCUCUGGGGAGACCAUUUCAUUGCUCUCAGGGUUCCCUGGAGACCGCCCUGGGCAUGGACCAUCCCCCGCCCCCACCCCCCCCCCCCCCCGCCCUUACCCCCACUUGGCCCGCACAGAUGGGAUGCUGCUUGCUGAGCGGUGUCCUUAAAACUAAGUGUUCUGUCUCCCCUGGAGCUUUCAAGUCAAAUUGUAAAAAUUCCAAAUUUGGAGACAGGCAGAUAUGGUUUCUCCCAUCACCAGGGAGGAAGGACCAUGAUGCUAGGUGGUUAGCCCUCGGUGGGAAAUGAAUGGUCUUCUAAUCAGAUACUAACUUUUGGAGGAGGUCUGUGCAAGUUCUGAGGUCCCUCCCCAGCCAGCCAGCCAGCCCCCAUGACCUUUAAUCCGUUUUUAGUUCUUCUGCCACAGGAAGCAGCCCGACGACUAAAUAAAAGAUUUGAUCUUGCCAUAAUUUCCCAAAGCAGAACUACUCAUCCUCACCUACUAUUUGGUGAUACAAGUAUGGCCUUUCUGAAUCCCCUAAUUCCUGACUAAUCAGAAUAUUCCAGAUGUUUGGCCAUGGUGAUUGGCUCAAUGGUCCAAUAGUUUCCGGAAGUGUCCCUGAUGGAACUUUUUGCUAAAACCAUCCAGGAACAGAAUUAUAUCCCCAGUGCUGGACACACACAGAUGAUGCUAACAUAAAUUGAAAGAAAAAGGGAUACUUUCCAGGUUACCAAGUGGAUGUUGGAAACUGCAGAUAGUACGGAACCCCAGAUAUGCCAUGAUUGCUCCUAUACAUACAUA